Molecule: ribosomal RNA, 433 nt
Filed under: uncultured bacterium
Lineage: Bacteria
Description: partial 16S ribosomal RNA
Rfam family: Bacterial small subunit ribosomal RNA
Source: RNAcentral
AACGAACGCUGGCGGCAUGCCUAACACAUGCAAGUCGAACGAAACCUUCGGGUCUCUUGGCGCUCGGGUGCUUAACGCCUGGCAGCCUACCCUUGGGUUCGGAAUCUCUCCCCGAAAGGGGUGCUAAUACCGGAAACGAUCUUCGGACCAACGACUUAUCUGCUUUGGGUGGGCCUGCGUUGGAUUAGAUGGUUGGUAGAGUAAAAGCCUACCAAGGAGACGAUGCAUAGCUGGUCUGAGAGGAUGAUCCGCCACACUGGGACUGAGACCCGGCCCAGAACCCUAGGGGAGGAAGCAGUGGGGAAUAUUGGACGACGGGCGAAAGACUGAGCCAGCCAUGCCGCGUGAGUGAUGAAGGCGGGAGGGUUGUAAAGCUCUUUUAUCCGGGAUGAUAAUGACAGUACCGGGAGAAUAAGCCCCGGCUAACUACGUG